RNAcentral lists this ribosomal RNA (1552 nucleotides) under Escherichia fergusonii. RNAcentral's name for it is "bacterial SSU rRNA". It matches the Rfam family "Bacterial small subunit ribosomal RNA". Lineage: Bacteria; Pseudomonadati; Pseudomonadota; Gammaproteobacteria; Enterobacterales; Enterobacteriaceae. The record is from RNAcentral.
AAAUUGAAGAGUUUGAUCAUGGCUCAGAUUGAACGCUGGCGGCAGGCCUAACACAUGCAAGUCGAACGGUAACAGGAAUCAGCUUGCUGAUUCGCUGACGAGUGGCGGACGGGUGAGUAAUGUCUGGGAAACUGCCUGAUGGAGGGGGAUAACUACUGGAAACGGUAGCUAAUACCGCAUAAUGUCGCAAGACCAAAGAGGGGGACCUUCGGGCCUCUUGCCAUCGGAUGUGCCCAGAUGGGAUUAGCUAGUAGGUGGGGUAACGGCUCACCUAGGCGACGAUCCCUAGCUGGUCUGAGAGGAUGACCAGCCACACUGGAACUGAGACACGGUCCAGACUCCUACGGGAGGCAGCAGUGGGGAAUAUUGCACAAUGGGCGCAAGCCUGAUGCAGCCAUGCCGCGUGUAUGAAGAAGGCCUUCGGGUUGUAAAGUACUUUCAGCGGGGAGGAAGGGAGUAAAGUUAAUACCUUUGCUCAUUGACGUUACCCGCAGAAGAAGCACCGGCUAACUCCGUGCCAGCAGCCGCGGUAAUACGGAGGGUGCAAGCGUUAAUCGGAAUUACUGGGCGUAAAGCGCACGCAGGCGGUUUGUUAAGUCAGAUGUGAAAUCCCCGGGCUCAACCUGGGAACUGCAUCUGAUACUGGCAAGCUUGAGUCUCGUAGAGGGGGGUAGAAUUCCAGGUGUAGCGGUGAAAUGCGUAGAGAUCUGGAGGAAUACCGGUGGCGAAGGCGGCCCCCUGGACGAAGACUGACGCUCAGGUGCGAAAGCGUGGGGAGCAAACAGGAUUAGAUACCCUGGUAGUCCACGCCGUAAACGAUGUCGACUUGGAGGUUGUGCCCUUGAGGCGUGGCUUCCGGAGCUAACGCGUUAAGUCGACCGCCUGGGGAGUACGGCCGCAAGGUUAAAACUCAAAUGAAUUGACGGGGGCCCGCACAAGCGGUGGAGCAUGUGGUUUAAUUCGAUGCAACGCGAAGAACCUUACCUGGUCUUGACAUCCACGGAAGUUUUCAGAGAUGAGAAUGUGCCUUCGGGAACCGUGAGACAGGUGCUGCAUGGCUGUCGUCAGCUCGUGUUGUGAAAUGUUGGGUUAAGUCCCGCAACGAGCGCAACCCUUAUCCUUUGUUGCCAGCGGUCCGGCCGGGAACUCAAAGGAGACUGCCAGUGAUAAACUGGAGGAAGGUGGGGAUGACGUCAAGUCAUCAUGGCCCUUACGACCAGGGCUACACACGUGCUACAAUGGCGCAUACAAAGAGAAGCGACCUCGCGAGAGCAAGCGGACCUCAUAAAGUGCGUCGUAGUCCGGAUUGGAGUCUGCAACUCGACUCCAUGAAGUCGGAAUCGCUAGUAAUCGUGGAUCAGAAUGCCACGGUGAAUACGUUCCCGGGCCUUGUACACACCGCCCGUCACACCAUGGGAGUGGGUUGCAAAAGAAGUAGGUAGCUUAACCUUCGGGAGGGCGCUUACCACUUUGUGAUUCAUGACUGGGGUGAAGUCGUAACAAGGUAACCGUAGGGGAACCUGCGGUUGGAUCACCUCCUUACCUUAAAGAA